Molecule: ribosomal RNA, 433 nt
Filed under: uncultured bacterium
Lineage: Bacteria
Description: partial 16S ribosomal RNA
Rfam family: Bacterial small subunit ribosomal RNA
Source: RNAcentral
AACGAACGCUGGCGGCAUGCCUAACACAUGCAAGUCGAACGAGACCUUCGGGUCUAGUGGCGCACGGGUGCGUAACGCGUGGGAACCUGCCCUUAGGUUCGGAAUAACUCCCCGAAAGGGGUGCUAAUACCGGAUAAUGUCUUCGGACCAAAGAUUUAUCGCCUUUGGAUGGGCCCGCGUUGGAUUAGCUAGUUGGUAGGGUAAAAGCCUACCAAGGCGACGAUCCAUAGCUGGUCUGAGAGGAUGAUCAGCCACACUGGGACUGAGACACGGCCCAGACUCCUACGGGAGGCAGCAGUGGGGAAUAUUGGACAAUGGGCGAAAGCAUGAUACAGCAAUGCCGCGUGAGUGAUGAAGGCCUUAGGGUUGUAAAGCUCUUUUAACCGGGAUGAUAAUGACAGUACCGGGAGAAUAAGCGCCGGCUAACUCCGUG